UACAGAGGGGGCAAGCGUUGUUCGGAAUUACUGGGCGUAUAGGGCGCGUAGGCGGCCCGCUAAGUCGUACGUGAAAUCCCCGGGCUCAACCCGGGAACUGCGUCCGAUACUGGUGGGCUCGAAUCCGGGAGAGGGAUGCGGAAUUCCAGGUGUAGCGGUGAAAUGCGUAGAUAUCUGGAGGAACACCGGUGGCGAAGGCGGCAUCCUGGACCGGUAUUGACGCUGAGGCGCGAAAGCCAGGGGAGCAAACGGG
Molecule: ribosomal RNA, 253 nt
Filed under: uncultured bacterium
Lineage: Bacteria
Description: partial 16S ribosomal RNA
Rfam family: Bacterial small subunit ribosomal RNA
Source: RNAcentral